Gouania willdenowi (blunt-snouted clingfish) is the source of this 1198-nucleotide long non-coding RNA. The record is from Ensembl. NCBI's taxonomy places the organism in Eukaryota, Metazoa, Chordata, Actinopteri, Blenniiformes, Gobiesocidae.
CCACUGCAAGCACCACAGACCCCUCCGCGGUACAACCAGCAACCGUACCAUGGAACAAAGCCAAAACGAUACCAAGAUAACACCGAUUAUCGAGAUUAUGCGCCAAAACAAAACUUUCGGCACCAAAAUUCUCGCCCUAACUCACACCACCAAGAUCGCCGACCGCGACCACCGUGGUAUGAUUACAACCGUUCUGACCAGUGGAGAAGACACGACAACGACCGCCGAACACCUCCACCCAGAAACGAACACUCAAAACCUUGGUAUCACAAAAAUAAUCAAAGGUCAUACGACCAGCAGCCAAACAGAUCAAGAUCAGACGAUGAAUCUAAUGAAAUAGAAAGUUUAGAAAUUAGGUUAGCUAACCAAAUCACUAAAGAAAUGGCAUCCAUCAAGAAAAUGUUCGAACAAAUGAUAGAUGACAAAACCUAUGAUAAACCAAAACAAUCAAAACGAAAAAAUGACGAUGAUUCGCCUCGUGCUGUCUUGCUGGUGCAAACACAUGCACCAAACCACCAUUUUUCCAAUGGACAUCAGUCCAUUGAAGGUGAACCACCAAUUCACCAACUCUUGUGCAACCUCUACGAAAGAGGAAUCGCCCGAAAGUUUUACAUUUCAGCCACUUUUGAAGGUGUGCUUACCAAUGAAGCCUUACUCGACACUGGAGCAGACAUAUCCCUCAUGUCCGCCCAACUGUUCAAUGAGCUGCGCAGCCUAGCCAAGGAGACCAACCUAAGGUUGAUACUCCAAGACUGCCACAUUGACAUUGAACCUUAUGGCGACAACGCCACCGUUAUCACGAAGAAGGCUCUCGUACAAGUCACCAUAGGUCAGCUGACUCUGGUGCACCCGUUUUACGUCUCAGACCACAACCAGAUUCCUCUUCUCAUAGGUAUCGAUCUGCUCAACCGAUUUGAGCCCCUGAUCGACUUUCAAAACCUGAAAAUCUGGGCACAAGUCUGGCAGCCACUGCCGCUGCAGCAUGACUCACCCGACGGAGUUCAGUGCUAUCAACUGAACCACCCUCAGGCUCUAAAAGAGACCCCCAGCCGGUCUCCGGCCCAAAUGCGUCCGGCUACUAAAACCGUAGACCGUACUCUAACGACCAAAAGUACCUCCCUGUGCGCGUUAACCAACAACCCCCUCGCUACCGAUGGUCUUGCGUUUCAGAACCGACACAUCAACGAUGCUCUCGCCA